AUACGUAGGGGGCGAGCGUUGUCCGGAAUGAUUGGGCGUAAAGGGCGCGUAGGCGGCGCGGUAAGUCUGGAGUGAAAGUCCUGCUUUCAAGGUGGGAAUUGCUUUGGAUACUGCCGCGCUUGAGUGCAGGAGAGGUUAUCGGAAUUCCCGGUGUAGCGGUGAAAUGCGUAGAGAUCGGGAGGAACACCAGUGGCGAAGGCGGGUAACUGGACUGCAACUGACGCUGAGGCUCGAAAGUGUGGGGAGCAAACAGGAUUAGAUACCCUGGUAGUCCACACUGUAAACGAUGAAUGCUAGGUGUAAGAGGUAUCGACCCCUUUUGUGCCGGAGUCAACACAAUAAGCAUUCCGCCUGGGGAGUACGGCCGCAAGGUUGAAACUUAAAGGAAUUGACGGGG
Molecule: ribosomal RNA, 397 nt
Filed under: uncultured bacterium
Lineage: Bacteria
Description: partial 16S ribosomal RNA
Rfam family: Bacterial small subunit ribosomal RNA
Source: RNAcentral